AAGUUGGCUGUGAUUUGGCUGGUUGUAUGAUAAUAUCAGUUAAAUGACACCAACUA
This 56-nucleotide microRNA precursor is filed under the name Ciona intestinalis (vase tunicate). RNAcentral's name for it is "microRNA cin-mir-4077d precursor". The record is from miRBase by way of RNAcentral. Lineage: Eukaryota; Metazoa; Chordata; Ascidiacea; Phlebobranchia; Cionidae.